CUAGGAUUGUGACGUUGCGCAGUACGAAAAACAAAGGCGGACUGACGCAGCUGUGGAGAGGUUAGUAGUUUAGAAAGAAAAUGGCAGGAACGUUGAACCCCGAAAUAUGGAAAAAUUGGGAGAAAAGCGGUAAAAGUGAAUUCAUGAAACUUUUUCUUCAAUUAUGCAAAGAUAAUACAAAAAGUCCAAUGUUUGAUAAAAGUGGAAAGAUCCAAAACAUCACGCAUAAUCUCAAUAUGUUGGUAAUCAACGGCGUUCACGGGACAAUCAAAAAGGAAUGGGUCAUAAGUGCUUUACAGGAAUUGGCAGCUUUGCACAGUGAUAACGCUGCUAUAAUAUGCGACGUUUUAAACGUCGCCGAUGCCGAAACGUCCGUGUUUGAGAAUCCAGACGAUCCUAAAGAGCGUAACAGUUUGGGUUACAUUAUUCGAGAGUGCGAGAAGUUUUUGUCUGAUAAAUUACUUAAAGAACGGCUGGAAAUUGACACUUUGCAAGAAGUCGGAGUUUUAAAGACACGGAAUUUUUACACCAAAUUUAUAAAAAUCAAAACGAAACUUUAUUAUAAGCAACGUAAAUUCAAUUUGUUCCGAGAGGAAAGCGAGGGAUUUUCAAAACUAGUUACCGAACUAAAUCAAGAUUUCAAAAAAAGUAUGGCAUGCAAAACAUUAUUAGAUAUCGUCCAGUCUUUAAUAGGUUGCUUCAAUUUGGAUCCGAAUCGUGUGCUAGAUGUAAUAUUUGAAAGUUUUGAAAACAAACCGAUGGACACCAGAUUAUUUAUACCGUUAAUUAACUCGUACAUGAACGAUCAUAAAGUUAUUGCGGAAGUGUCCGGUUCCAAAUAUUUGUUUCUUAGAAAUAGUUCGGAUUCUCAUGUACCCAAGUCACUGUUUGUAUUAACAGCGCAUCUUUUACAACAUGGAUUAAUUAAACUUAAUGAUAUUUACCCGUGGCUCACACCAGAGGAUAAGGUGAUGCAGAAAGAUUGGGACAGUGAUAUGAAAAGUGCAAGGGAAUACAUGCAAUCGCUUCAGGUGGUCUCGCUAAAUCCUUCCAAAGAUGAUGCAAUCGAAGAAAAAGAUAACAGCACCGACCAAUAUAACAACAACCAAAAGUUGGGUUUAUGCGAGGCGUUGUUAGAAAUCGGGGAUUGGGAGAACGCACAACUGAUUAUUAAUCGAUUACCCGAACAUUUUGCCAUGGAUUAUCAACCGGCCGCCUUAGCUCUGUGUAGUUUACUUCACUACAUUAUCGAGCCGGUGUAUAGAGCGAAUUAUAAACUGGGAAAUAAACUAAAGGGAAGAGUUGUUCCACCACAUAAAAAUCCAUUGGCGCCGAAACCGGUGCAUACAUUUUUAGACCUGCGAAAAGUAGCCAUUCCCAUGUUGCUUACGUUAGGACCAUCGCUACGUUAUGAUCCAUUGCUACUGUAUAAAGUAAUAAGACUGGCAAAAGCCGCAAUGAGUUCUUAUGGUAUUGAUACGUCGUCCACUCAGCCUCCCGAUGGGGACACAUUAUAUUACGACAUCCUUACGAUACUCGACACCACAAUUUUGCCCUCCCUUUCUUAUUUAGAGUGUAACUGUUGUGUUGCCGAAACCGUUUGGAAUAUCAUCAAACUGUAUCCAUAUCACGUUCGUUAUUGCUUGUACGGACAGUGGAAGAACGAAACCUACGCUUUGUAUCCAGAUCUGAUUCGAAGGCGGGCAGAUGCGGAGAAGUCACUAAAAAACACGAUGAAACGUGUCAGUAAAGAAAAUCUUAAACACACCGGUAGAAGUAUUGGAAAGCUAACGCAUAGCUCUCCGGGAUAUUUAUUUGAUUACAUUCUUGUUCAAGUGCAAGUUUACGAUAAUUUAAUUUAUCCGGUAGUUGACUCUUUAAAAUAUCUGACUAGCCUAUCGUACGACGUUCUGGGUUAUUGCUUGGUUGAAACUUUAUCAAAUGCCGAGAAAAAGAGAGUUAAGCACGACAGCACCUCGAUCUCUCAUUGGUUGCAGAGUUUAUCCUGUUUUAGUGGUGCAAUCUUUAAGAAGUAUAAUAUUGAACUUACCGGUUUAUUGCAGUAUGUGGCCAAUCAAUUGAAAGCUCAAAAGAGUUUGGAUCUUUUGAUUUUGAAGGAAAUUGUUCAAAAAAUGGCAGGUGUUGAAUCUGCAGAGGAGUUGACAAUGGACCAGCUUAAUGCCAUGGCUGGUGGUGAACUAUUGAAAUCAGAGGCCGGGUACUUUAGUCAAGUCAGAAAUACGAAAAAAUCCUCAAUCCGUUUAAAAGAUGCCAUGGCUGAUCAAAACUUGGCAGUUACUCUUUGCCUAUUAAUGGCUCAACAGAAAUAUUGUGCGGUUUAUCGAGAAACGCAGCAAAGUCACUUGAAACUAGUUGGAAAUUUGGCUGACCAAUGCCAAGACACCCUAGUUCAGUUCGGUACAUUCCUAGGAUCGACAUUAUCUGUAGAUGAAUACACAAAUAAAUUACCAUCAAUACAAAGUAUGUUAUUGGACUAUCAUAUCCCGUAUGAAGUUGCAUUCUUUCUGGCAAGACCAAUGUUAAACCAUUCAAUAAAUAUCAAGUAUGACCAAUUAAGGAAAUCAGAUUCGAAUUACAAAAAAUUAUCGACUCAAGCUAAGCAUCAAAAGUAUUUCGACGCUGUAACGGAAAUAAUGGAGCCUGUUUUUAAGUCAAUCGUCCCACUUCAUCCCCCCAAAGUGUGGGAAGACAUUUCCCCACAAUUCCUCACCACAUUUUGGUCACUGACUAUGUUUGACUUAUUCGUCCCCGACGAGACAUAUCAGCAGGUUAUUUCGAAAAUUAAGCAGCAAUCCUUGCAAAUCGCCGACACUAAUACCAGCAAGGGAAAGAAGGAUUUGGAACGAUACAUGACUCUCAUGGAAAAGGUUCAGGACGAGAAGAAGAAACAGCACGAGCACGUUGACAAAGUAUUGUACAGAUUAAAUCAAGAAAAGGACACGUGGUUUCUGUCGAGAUCGGUGAAGGCGGCGAAAAAUGAAACCAUAACUCGAUUUUUGCAACUCUGUUUGUUCCCGAGGUGUACUUUUACGCCGAUUGAUGCAGUGUAUUGUGCCAAAUUUGUCCAUACAAUACAUAGCUUGAAGACACCCAACUUUUCUACUCUUCUGUGUUAUGAUAGGUUGUUUUGUGACGUGACCUAUUCUAUUACAUCAUGUACAGAAAACGAAGCAAUCCGUUACGGUCGCUUUCUUUGCGCGAUGCUCGAGACCGUUAUGCGUUGGCAGAAAUCGAAGGAAAAUUUCGACAGGGAAUGCGCCAAUUAUCCAGGAUUUGUUACGAAAUUUCGCGUUAGUAACCAAUGUAACGACAGCAUGGAUCACGUCGGCUACGAGAACUAUCGACACGUCUGUCAUAAGUGGCACUUUAAAUUAGCCAAGGCCAUGAUGAUAUGCUUGGACUCGAAAGAUUUUGUACAAAUUCGCAAUGCGCUGAUUAUACUUAUCAAGAUCAUUCCCCACUUUCCUGUUCUUUUGAAAUUAAGCCAGAUUAUAGAGAAGAGGGUUGAGAAAGUGAAGGAUGAGGAGAAGAACCAACGGCAGGAUUUGUACACGUUAGCUAUUAGUUAUCACGGGCAGUUAAAGCAGAGAAUUGCUUCAGGACAUAUGUUGAAGGAAAGCGAGUUUCAUGUGACAGAAAAAGAAAAGGCGGCAAAAUCCCAUGAUGCCGCUAAGCAUGAUGUAAAUACUUCAUCUAAACAUAAUGGGGAUGCUCGAGAUCAAGCCGAUACGUCGAAAGAAUCUGCAAAAGAUGUGAAGGAAAAGCCGGAAAUCAAAAGGAGCAGGCAGUCAUCUGAAGAUACUAAGCCGUUGCCAAAAGUACCAACGUCAGAUAUAAAUAACUCCAAAGAUAAAUUAGCCGAGAAAGAAAAACAACCCAAAGAAAGUCGAAUAGACAAGGAUCUUAGAAAAGAGGAAAAGCGAGACGACCUAGAGCGUGAUAAAGACCGUGACCGACGACGAGAGCGGAAAGAGGAAAAAUUAAUAGGUAAAGAAGAUAGGGUAUACAGGGACGAACGAUAUAUUGAAAUGUUAAGUCCCAAAGACGAUGUAAGAUAUUCGAGCGAACGCGAUCGAUAUUAUGAAGAUCGAGGUGCCCACUAUCUUAGAGAAGUUCGUGACGAACGCGAAAUUAGUUUCGGAAAUAAUGGUUCAAAUUUGAGACGCAGUCAGGAACCACCCGAACCCGAUAGAGAACUAAAAAGAAGAAAAAUGGAGGGUUCUACUUCGAAGGUUAGUAUUGGGGUCAGAUAACAUCGGAGUGAGAUAGUUUCAGGGCCUUCCCCACACUUCGCCUGGUACAUUUCAACGUUCAGAUGUUCAGUUUGGGAGAUUGGGCUGAGAAGUCAACCUAUUUUAUUUGAAAUACGUGUUUUAGUGUGCGGUAAAAUUUAAGUGUUUUAAAAAAGUGAACUUUCCUUCGUUCGUCUACCCGAGGACAUCAGUUUAAGUUUCUAUUUUGCGCGUUCAUCGAGAGCUUUCGUUUUGUUUUAAUUUGGAAUGAAGAUUAAUUUGACAAGAUUGUCGCCGCAAUUCUGGUUACUGAAAGAAUCAAUUUUAAGUUAAUGGCAUAUUUUCCAUUGUUCCCAAUUAUAGAAAUGAUGUUAAGUUAUUUUUGUCACUGAUAUCAGCAUCAACCACUGUCCAAAUCAAAAUACCAAUAUCGAGAUGAAAUGUAUUUAAUUAAUCGAACAAAACUACAGCAAGUAAAUUAAAGAUCUUGGAUAGAACAAUAAAUGAAGCUGCACUGCCAAAAAGAAUUUGAAGAUAUCUGCUUGAAAUGAAGAUCCGUUCAUCACUUGAAGAAGAAAUCGCUGCGGCCCAGGAUGAAGAACCUUCCUAAGUGUUUAUAACAAAAUCUUUCCAUCUGGUUGCUUUCGAAUGUUUUAAUCCUUGGUGAUUUUGAAGACACUCAUGUUGAUCAGCCCAAUCUUCCAUGCAUCUGCCGUUCUCUACAAUUAUGGGGGUGGGUCUGCUGUUCGAAGAAGGAGUGGACAGCCAAGCAAAUUCUUCAGAAUUCACAUUAUUCCUGUAUGAGCAGAAAAAACUACAUCAUAGACCAAAUAAUAGUGUUUAUGUGAACGAAUAAAGAUAGAGAGGGACUUUUACUUGGCAUAAUAAAACCUGCAAAAUGAGUGAGAAAAUCAAAAAAAUUUUCUGCUUGAAUAGUCCCAGUUGAUGCAGCACAACGAAUUACUAAAAUUCUUAGAAAGUAAAAGCAGAACCGGUCCGACGGGUUGACCGGCCGGAAGCUUUUACUCGCGAAAAUGAAUGUGAACUCUUCCAAUAGGGUCAUUUGCAUUAUUUCGCAUAUUCUGUUUUCAAAAUGUGAACCUUCUUAUGUAAUGCAAUAAAAGGAGCAAGCGAGACACAGGAAGUUUAACCUAACGAUAUCCAUUCAAAUGGUUGAAUGUGCAAAAUAGGCACGGAACAAUCCUGGACGUGUGGAAUAUAAAUGUCUAUAAAAGAAAGAGUUGAGAACAAACACAAUGUAACAAGAAUACAAUUUGACAGACUGGACAUCGAUGCAGUGGAAAAGAAAGUAACUAUAAAAUAAUGCAGUACCAGAAAUAACUUCUCAGACGCCAGCAAUGGAAAUAAAUAGAAAACAUAAUAAUAAAAAAAUCAAAACCAUUGCUGUGAUAGCAUCAGACAUCGAUAAGAACAAUCACAUGCUACAAAAGAAAAUAACAUUUAUCAAGAAAAAAACUUUAAUAAUUAUUUAGCAAAUAAUGGAAAGAGCUCACAUAUAUGAGGUAUUGGGGAUCGAAAGCAGAUUCGGAAACAAUGGAAUCUAAGAAUAUGAUCCCCAUAUAUUCUAUACCGAAAACUGAAACAAGACGGAAGUUGCUGCACCAUUUCCAAGUAGAGAUCCAUGGUAAAUCAAAUUUUCUCAAAAUGGAGGGUAUGAGUUAUGGUAGAUACAGUAAAUUAGAAAUGAGGAGAAUUUCAAAUGUAAACGAAUGGAUCAGGGAUGAUUGGGCUGUAAAGACCGCAAGUGACAAGUUGCUAGAUGGAAGACCGUCUGUGUGCCACCGGAGAAAUUGUUGGAAUGACUAAUUUUGUGAGAAGAAAAAUCGAAAGAUGAAAUUGAAGAAAAUGGAAAGAAGCAAAAGUGAUACGUAAUUCAUAAAAGGAACAAAAUACACAGGAAGCAUGUGAUAAGUCUGAGAACAAUGGAAAUGGUUAGUAUCAGAACAAGUGUAGUAAAUGUUGAACGAUUGUCAGUAAGUGGCUUGGGUUAUUAAACAAUGAGGAAGCAAAACAAAAGCUGGGGAUGGUACCAAAAAUAUAUUUAAUGGAUUCAAAAUAUUGAAAUGAACUACAUUUAUUGACAUGUUUAGUAAAAAUGGAAAAACCACAUAUCUUGACCUAUAACAAAAACUUUCCAAUGUUCGUAAAUAUCAAAGCCUUAAACUCUCUAUAAGUUAUCUCCUCAGGAUCCAACUAAUCGAAAUCGUAGCACGGAACGUUUCAAUGUUAGGGGCUUAUGUAGGUAAUUGAUUCGUGAUAGGAAAUGCGUGAUGUCAACCUCCAAAGCUAAUGAAGUGAGCUCCAUAAAGUUUAAGGACCUUGAGAAUCUCUGAAUCAAGCAUCUAUUACUUAAAGGAACGUCCCAGAAAAGUUACCAUAUUUCAUUAUGGUUUUCAGAAAUUUCUUUGCCAAUUUUAAGAAAUUCCCUUGCCGCCCGUAAUGUGUAACAGUGACUCCCGUUGUUCGGCAAUUCACCAUUUGUAAUUGACAGCAUUUUACCAACAUAAUAAUGUAAUGAGUUUACAAAUUUACUUAUCCGCAACUGAUGUAUGUUAAUAUUUUUACAAUGAUGGCAAGUAGUGUAAAUGUUCAAAACUGUGUGAAACAAUGGAUGAAUGCUUAUUGGGAAGAGGACGGAGCUGUAGACUUGGAGAUUGGACACCAUACAAGCUAUCAACACAAACUUUCAACUGUCAGUGAGAAAUAAACUCAUCCAGAAAGGGGUUAUGAAUGGUGACAAGGGAAUCAACUUGUUAGAAGGUGAAGUUCCCGAAAAAGUGAUGAUUUUGAUGUUGGUCAGUCGUUCACAUUCUUCUGUUUUUCCAACAACUAUUGAAUAUUGAUCAGCAACUAGCAUUAAUUUCUUCUGAAUGCAGACGUACCAUUGUUCAAGAAAUUCUCCAUUUCAUAUGUCAACAAUCAUCAGGUGAAAAUUCAAUUACUGGAAUGCUUGUCCUACUAGUGUUGGUCUGCUUUGUCUGAAAUGCUACAUCCGAUUCAAAGCAGAGAAUGUCAUUAGUCUUUUACAAAUGGUGCCUGAUCGUUGGAUUCCAUUCAUCUAUUUUGGAUAUGAGCUGUUUUGAGAUCUGGUGUUUGGGAAGAAUGAUCUUGUGAGGGAACAUCGUGGAGUAUGGGAAGCAGAUGUGCAAGAUUUGAAGAGCGUAAAAGAGAAUUUCGUUAAAUUUACAAUUACGAAAUCAUUAGCUGACCAAGUUGCAAAUCUAAUCAUACCUUGGCAAUACAAUUAUGAAGAAAAACAAGACUGCGGAAAUGUGGAAGUUCAGCGAGUGUGAUGCAAGAUACAGAAGCAAAAAAAAUCGAGCAAGAUUGAAUAAUGAAGAUCAGCAAAAUUGAAGAUCCAUUCGGGACAAACCUGCCUUUAUUUAAAACAUAAUAACAUCAUACAGUGCAGAAGUAAAUAAACUCAUUGUCAUGUGUGCUAUGUAACCGUAAAAUGCUUUUGAUUACAUUCUUUUAAUCAGUGUGCACAAUUUAACAACAUGUAACUAUUCUUCAUCUGUUUUCUUUCGUAGUUGUCCAUCUUUCAAUCACAGAAUAUUAUGGGGUUAUAGUCGCAGUAGUUAUUUUUUUUGCAUAUCGCAGGGAGACUGUGAAAUUAAGACAAAUGUUUGAUUAAGUUUUUCUUUAUUAGUGUUGGGGGUACGCCCUCGUGAGAGGUAUGGUUUGCUUCAGAAUUUUGUAACAUAUUUUAUGUUGGCUGUUUUUAAUAUUCGUAAA
Molecule: RNA transcript, 8012 nt
Organism: Photinus pyralis (common eastern firefly)
Lineage: Eukaryota; Metazoa; Arthropoda; Insecta; Coleoptera; Lampyridae
Gene: tho2
Gene name: THO complex subunit 2
Exons: 18
Source: RefSeq, a predicted model, not a curated record